This 358-nucleotide ribosomal RNA is filed under the name Pseudomonas sp. DB2-17. Its description in RNAcentral is "bacterial SSU rRNA". It matches the Rfam family "Bacterial small subunit ribosomal RNA", at positions 99 to 460 of the family's 1533-position model. Lineage: Bacteria; Pseudomonadati; Pseudomonadota; Gammaproteobacteria; Pseudomonadales; Pseudomonadaceae. The record is from RNAcentral.
CGGACGGGUGAGUAAUACCUAGGAAUCUGCCUGAUAGUGGGGGAUAACGUUCGGAAACGGACGCUAAUACCGCAUACGUCCUACGGGAGAAAGCAGGGGACCUUCGGGCCUUGCGCUAUCAGAUGAGCCUAGGUCGGAUUAGCUAGUUGGUGAGGUAAUGGCUCACCAAGGCUACGAUCCGUAACUGGUCUGAGAGGAUGAUCAGUCACACUGGAACUGAGACACGGUCCAGACUCCUACGGGAGGCAGCAGUGGGGAAUAUUGGACAAUGGGCGAAAGCCUGAUCCAGCCAUGCCGCGUGUGUGAAGAAGGUCUUCGGAUUGUAAAGCACUUUAAGUUGGGAGGAAGGGCAUUAACC